Molecule: ribosomal RNA, 1153 nt
Filed under: Serratia marcescens
Lineage: Bacteria; Pseudomonadati; Pseudomonadota; Gammaproteobacteria; Enterobacterales; Yersiniaceae
Description: partial 23S ribosomal RNA
Rfam family: Bacterial large subunit ribosomal RNA
Source: RNAcentral
CGAAGAUACCAGCUGGCUGCAACUGUUUAAUAAAAACACAGCACUGUGCAAACACGAAAGUGGACGUAUACGGUGUGACGCCUGCCCGGUGCUGGAAGGUUAAUUGAUGGGGUCAGCCGCAAGGCGAAGCUCUUGAUCGAAGCCCCAGUAAACGGCGGCCGUAACUAUAACGGUCCUAAGGUAGCGAAAUUCCUUGUCGGGUAAGUUCCGACCUGCACGAAUGGCGUAAUGAUGGCCAGGCUGUCUCCACCCGAGACUCAGUGAAAUUGAACUCGCUGUGAAGAUGCAGUGUACCCGCGGCAAGACGGAAAGACCCCGUGAACCUUUACUAUAGCUUGACACUGAACAUUGAGCCUUGAUGUGUAGGAUAGGUGGGAGGCUUUGAAGCGUGGACGCCAGUCUGCGUGGAGCCAUCCUUGAAAUACCACCCUUUAAUGUUUGAUGUUCUAACUCGGCCCCAUAAUCUGGGGUGAGGACAGUGUCUGGUGGGUAGUUUGACUGGGGCGGUCUCCUCCCAAAGAGUAACGGAGGAGCACGAAGGUUAGCUAAUCACGGUCGGACAUCGUGAGGUUAGUGCAAAGGCAUAAGCUAGCUUGACUGCGAGAGUGACGGCUCGAGCAGGUACGAAAGUAGGUCUUAGUGAUCCGGUGGUUCUGAAUGGAAGGGCCAUCGCUCAACGGAUAAAAGGUACUCCGGGGAUAACAGGCUGAUACCGCCCAAGAGUUCAUAUCGACGGCGGUGUUUGGCACCUCGAUGUCGGCUCAUCACAUCCUGGGGCUGAAGUAGGUCCCAAGGGUAUGGCUGUUCGCCAUUUAAAGUGGUACGCGAGCUGGGUUUAGAACGUCGUGAGACAGUUCGGUCCCUAUCUGCCGUGGGCGUUGGAAGAUUGAGAGGGGUUGCUCCUAGUACGAGAGGACCGGAGUGAACGCACCACUGGUGUUCGGGUUGUCAUGCCAAUGGCAUUGCCCGGUAGCUAAGUGCGGAAAAGAUAAGCGCUGAAAGCAUCUAAGCGCGAAACUUGCCUCAAGAUGAGUCUUCCCUGGGCCUUUAAGGCCCCUGAAGGAACGUUUAAGACUAAGACGUUGAUAGGCUGGGUGUGUAAGUGCAGCGAUGCAUUGAGCUAACCAGUACUAAUGAUCCGUGAGGCUUAACC